UUAAGUGACUAAGCGUACACGGUGGAUGCCUAGGCAGUCAGAGGCGAUGAAGGACGUGCUAAUCUGCGAUAAGCGUCGGUGAGCUGAUAUGAAGCAUUAUUAGCCGGCGAUGUCCGAAUGGGGAAACCCAGUGCAAUCCGUUGCACUAUCGUUAAGUGAAUACAUAGCUUAACGAGGCGAACCAGGGGAACUGAAACAUCUAAGUACCCUGAGGAAAAGAAAUCAACCGAGAUUCCCCUAGUAGCGGCGAGCGAACGGGGAAGAGCCCAGAACCUGAAUCAGUUUGUGCAUUAGUGGAAGCGUCUGGAAAGUCGCGCGAUACCGGGUGAUAGCCCCGUACACGAAGGUGCACAGCUGUGAGUUCGAUGAGUAGGGCGGGACACGUGUUAUCCUGUCUGAAUAUGGGGGGACCAUCCUCCAAGGCUAAAUACUCCUGACUGACCGAUAGUGAACCAGUACCGUGAGGGAAAGGCGAAAAGAACCCCGGCGAGGGGAGUGAAAUAGAACCUGAAACCGUGUACGUACAAGCAGUGGGAGCAUCCUUCGGGGUGUGACUGCGUACCUUUUGUAUAAUGGGUCAGCGACUUAUAUUUUGUAGCAAGGUUAACCGAAUAGGGGAGCCGUAGGGAAACCGAGUCUUAACUGGGCGUCUAGUUGCAAGGUAUAGACCCGAAACCCGGUGAUCUAGCCAUGGGCAGGUUGAAGGUUGGGUAACACUAACUGGAGGACCGAACCGACUAAUGUUGAAAAAUUAGCGGAUGACUUGUGGCUGGGGGUGAAAGGCCAAUCAAACCGGGAGAUAGCUGGUUCUCCCCGAAAGCUAUUUAGGUAGCGCCUCGUGAACUCAUCUUCGGGGGUAGAGCACUGUUUCGGCUAGGGGGUCAUCCCGACUUACCAACCCGAUGCAAACUACGAAUACCGAAGAAUGUUAUCACGGGAGACACACGGCGGGUGCUAACGUCCGUCGUGAAGAGGGAAACAACCCAGACCGCCAGCUAAGGUCCCAAAGUCAUGGUUAAGUGGGAAACGAUGUGGGAAGGCAUAGACAGCCAGGAUGUUGGCUUAGAAGCAGCCAUCAUUUAAAGAAAGCGUAAUAGCUCACUGGUCGAGUCGGCCUGCGCGGAAGAUGUAACGGGGCUAAACCAUGCACCGAAGCUGCGGCAGCGACACUAUGUGUUGUUGGGUAGGGGAGCGUUCUGUAAGCCUGUGAAGGUGGCCUGUGAGGGCUGCUGGAGGUAUCAGAAGUGCGAAUGCUGACAUAAGUAACGAUAAAGCGGGUGAAAAGCCCGCUCGCCGGAAGACCAAGGGUUCCUGUCCAACGUUAAUCGGGGCAGGGUAAGUCGACCCCUAAGGCGAGGCCGAAAGGCGUAGUCGAUGGGAAACAGGUUAAUAUUCCUGUACUUGGUGUUAUUGCGAAGGGGGGACGGAGAAGGCUAGACCGGCCGGGCGACGGUUGUCCCGGUUUAAGCGUGUAGGUGUGAUGACCUGGCAAAUCCGGUUAUCUUUAACACUGAGGCGUGAUGACGAGGCACUACGGUGCUGAAGUGGUUAAUGCCCUGCUUCCAGGAAAAGCCUCUAAGCUCUAGAUAACACUGAAUCGUACCCCAAACCGACACAGGUGGUCAGGUAGAGAAUACCAAGGCGCUUGAGAGAACUCGGGUGAAGGAACUAGGCAAAAUGGUGCCGUAACUUCGGGAGAAGGCACGCUGGCAUGUAGGUGAAGUCCCUCGCGGAUGGAGCCGAAGCCAGUCGAAGAUACCAGCUGGCUGCAACUGUUUAAUAAAAACACAGCACUCUGCAAACACGAAAGUGGACGUAUAGGGUGUGACGCCUGCCCGGUGCUGGAAGGUUAAUUGAUGGGGUCAGCCGCAAGGCGAAGCUCUUGAUCGAAGCCCCAGUAAACGGCGGCCGUAACUAUAACGGUCCUAAGGUAGCGAAAUUCCUUGUCGGGUAAGUUCCGACCUGCACGAAUGGCGUAAUGAUGGCCAGGCUGUCUCCACCCGAGACUCAGUGAAAUUGAACUCGCUGUGAAGAUGCAGUGUACCCGCGGCAAGACGGAAAGACCCCGUGAACCUUUACUAUAGCUUGACACUGAACAUUGAACCUUGAUGUGUAGGAUAGGUGGGAGGCUUUGAAGUGUGGACGCCAGUCUGCAUGGAGCCGACCUUGAAAUACCACCCUUUAAUGUUUGAUGUUCUAACCUGGUCCCGUAAUCCGGGAUAGGGACAGUGUCUGGUGGGUAGUUUGACUGGGGCGGUCUCCUCCCAAAGAGUAACGGAGGAGCACGAAGGUUAGCUAAUCCUGGUCGGACAUCAGGAGGUUAGUGCAAAGGCAUAAGCUAGCUUGACUGCGAGAGUGACGGCUCGAGCAGGUGCGAAAGCAGGUCUUAGUGAUCCGGUGGUUCUGAAUGGAAGGGCCAUCGCUCAACGGAUAAAAGGUACUCCGGGGAUAACAGGCUGAUACCGCCCAAGAGUUCAUAUCGACGGCGGUGUUUGGCACCUCGAUGUCGGCUCAUCACAUCCUGGGGCUGAAGUAGGUCCCAAGGGUAUGGCUGUUCGCCAUUUAAAGUGGUACGCGAGCUGGGUUUAGAACGUCGUGAGACAGUUCGGUCCCUAUCUGCCGUGGGCGUUGGAAGAUUGAGAGGGGCUGCUCCUAGUACGAGAGGACCGGAGUGGACGCACCGCUGGUGUUCGGGUUGUGAUGCCAAUUGCAUUGCCCGGUAGCUACGUGCGGAAGAGAUAAGCGCUGAAAGCAUCUAAGCGCGAAACUUGCCUCGAGAUGAGUCUUCCCUUGGACCUUGAGUCCACUAAAGGAACGUUUAAGACUAAGACGUUGAUAGGCUGGGUGUGUAAGCGUAGCGAUACGUUGAGCUAACCAGUACUAAUGAUCCGUGAGGCUUAACCUU
Molecule: ribosomal RNA, 2905 nt
Filed under: Edwardsiella tarda
Lineage: Bacteria; Pseudomonadati; Pseudomonadota; Gammaproteobacteria; Enterobacterales; Hafniaceae
Description: bacterial LSU rRNA
Rfam family: Bacterial large subunit ribosomal RNA
Source: RNAcentral